This 497-nucleotide ribosomal RNA is filed under the name uncultured bacterium. RNAcentral's name for it is "partial 16S ribosomal RNA". It matches the Rfam family "Bacterial small subunit ribosomal RNA", at positions 28 to 507 of the family's 1533-position model. The record is from RNAcentral.
GAUGAACGCUGGCGGCGUGCCUAAUACAUGCAAGUCGAGCGAACAGAUGAGGAGCUUGCUGUUCUGACGUUAGCGGCGGACGGGUGAGUAACACGUGGAUAACCUAUCUAUAAGACUGGGAUAACUUCGAGAAACCGGAGUUCAUACCGGAUAAUAUAUCGAACCGCAUGGUUCAAUAGUGAAUGACGGUUUUGCUGUCACUUCUAGAUGGAUCCGCGCCGCAUUAGCUAGUUGGUAAGGUAACGGCUUACCAAGGCGACGAUGCGUAGCCGACCUGAGAGGGGGAAGGGCCACACUGGGACUGAGACGCGGUCCAGGCUCUUACGUGAGGCAGCAGUAGCGAAGCGACCGCAAUGGGCGGAAGCCUGACGGAGCGGCGGCGGGUGAGUGAUGAAGGGCUGCGGGUCGUAUGACUCUGUUAGUAGUGAAGAACGAAUGUGUAAGUAACUAUGCUCGUCUUGACGGUAGCUGAUAAGAAAGCCACGGCUAACUACGUG